RNAcentral lists this ribosomal RNA (465 nucleotides) under Vreelandella stevensii. RNAcentral's name for it is "partial 16S ribosomal RNA". It matches the Rfam family "Bacterial small subunit ribosomal RNA", at positions 338 to 795 of the family's 1533-position model. The record is from RNAcentral. Lineage: Bacteria; Pseudomonadati; Pseudomonadota; Gammaproteobacteria; Oceanospirillales; Halomonadaceae.
CCUACGGGGGGCUGCAGUGGGGAAUAUUGGACAAUGGGGGGAACCCUGAUCCAGCCAUGCCGCGUGUGUGAAGAAGGCCCUCGGGUUGUAAAGCACUUUCAGUGAGGAAGAACGCCUGGUGGUUAAUACCCAUCAGGAAAGACAUCACUCACAGAAGAAGCACCGGCUAACUCCGUGCCAGCAGCCGCGGGAAUACGGAGGGUGCGAGCGUUAAUCGGAAUUACUGGGCGUAAAGCGCGCGUAGGUGGCUUGAUAAGCCGGUUGUGAAAGCCCCGGGCUCAACCUGGGAACGGCAUCCGGAACUGUCAAGCUAGAGUGCAGGAGAGGAAGGUAGAAUUCCCGGUGUAGCGGUGAAAUGCGUAGAGAUCGGGAGGAAUACCAGUGGCGAAGGCGGCCUUCUGGACUGACACUGACACUGAGGUGCGAAAGCGUGGGUAGCAAACAGGAUUAGAUACCCCAGUAGUC